Molecule: transfer RNA, 76 nt
Filed under: Chitinophaga silvatica
Lineage: Bacteria; Pseudomonadati; Bacteroidota; Chitinophagia; Chitinophagales; Chitinophagaceae
Description: Chitinophaga sp. GDMCC 1.1288 tRNA-Ile
Rfam family: tRNA
About the family: Transfer RNA (tRNA) molecules are approximately 80 nucleotides in length. Their secondary structure includes four short double-helical elements and three loops (D, anti-codon, and T loops). Further hydrogen bonds mediate the characteristic L-shaped molecular structure. tRNAs have two regions of fundamental functional importance: the anti-codon, which is responsible for specific mRNA codon recognition, and the 3' end, to which the tRNAs corresponding amino acid is attached (by aminoacyl-tRNA synthetases). tRNAs cope with the degeneracy of the genetic code in two manners: having more than one tRNA (with a specific anti-codon) for a particular amino acid; and 'wobble' base-pairing, i.e. permitting non-standard base-pairing at the 3rd anti-codon position.
Source: RNAcentral
UGGCUUAUAGCUCAAUGGUUAGAGCACCUGCCUUAUACGCAGUCGGUUAUCGGUUCAACUCCGAUUAGGCCAACAA